GACGAACGCUGGCGGCGUGCUUAACACAUGCAAGUCGAGCGGUAAGGCCCCUUCGGGGGUACACGAGCGGCGAACGGGUGAGUAACACGUGAGCAAUCUGCCCUUCACACGGGGAUAACUCCGGGAAACCGAAGCUAAUACCCGAUACGACCACUUCAGGCAUCUGAUGGUGGUGGAAAGUUCCGGCGGUGAAGGAUGAGCCCGCGGCCUAUCAGCUUGUUGGUGGGGUAACGGCCCACCAAGGCAACGACGGGUAGCCGGCCUGAGAGGGUGACCGGCCACACUGGGACUGAGACACGGCCCAGACUCCUACGGGAGGCAGCAGUGGGGAAUAUUGGGCAAUGGGCGAAAGCCUGAUCCAGCAACGCCGCGUGAGGGAUGACGGCCUUCGGGUUGCAAACCUCUUUCAGCAGGGACGAAGCGCAAGUGACGGUACCUGCAGAAGAAGCACCGGCCAACUACGUGCCAGCCGCCGCGGUAA
This 481-nucleotide ribosomal RNA is filed under the name uncultured bacterium. Its description in RNAcentral is "partial 16S ribosomal RNA". It matches the Rfam family "Bacterial small subunit ribosomal RNA", at positions 28 to 523 of the family's 1533-position model. The record is from RNAcentral.